RNAcentral lists this ribosomal RNA (491 nucleotides) under uncultured bacterium. RNAcentral's name for it is "partial 16S ribosomal RNA". It matches the Rfam family "Bacterial small subunit ribosomal RNA", at positions 355 to 837 of the family's 1533-position model. The record is from RNAcentral.
UAGGGAAUCUUCGGCAAUGGACGAAAGUCUGACCGAGCAACGCCGCGUGAGUGAAGAAGGUUUUCGGAUCGUAAAACUCUGUUGUUAGAGAAGAACGUUGCAUAGAGUGGAAAAUUAUGCAAGUGACGGUAUCUAACCAGAAAGGGACGGCUAACUACGUGCCAGCAGCCGCGGUAAUACGUAGGUCCCGAGCGUUGUCCGGAUUUAUUGGGCGUAAAGCGAGCGCAGGUGGUUUAAUAAGUCUGAUGUAAAAGGCAGUGGCUCAACCAUUGUGUGCAUUGGAAACUGUUAGACUUGAGUGCAGUAGAGGAGAGUGGAAUUCCAUGUGUAGCGGUGAAAUGCGUAGAUAUAUGGAGGAACACCGGUGGCGAAAGCGGCUCUCUGGACUGUCACUGACACUGAGGCUCGAAAGCGUGGGUAGCAAACAGGAUUAGAUACCCUGGUAGUCCACGCCGUAAACGAUGAGUGCUAGUUGUUUGGGGCUAUCCAGC